AUUGAACGCUGGCGGCAGGCCUAACACAUGCAAGUCGAGCGAGCGGCGGACGGGUGAGUAAUGUCUGGGAACCUGCCUGAUGGAGGGGGAUAACUACUGGAAACGGUAGCUAAUACCGCAUACCAUCAGAUGUGCCCAGAUGGGAUUAGCUAGUAGGUGGGGUAAAGGCUCACCUAGGCGACGAUCCCUAGCUGGUCUGAUAGGAUGACCAGCCACACUGGAACUGGGACACGGUCCGGACGCCGACGGGAGGCAGCAGUGGGGAAGAUGGCAAAAUGGGCGCAAGCCUGAUGCAGCCAUGCCGCGUGUGUUAAGAGGGCCUUCGGGUGUUAAUGCACUGUCAGCGGGGAGGCGUUACCCGCAGAAGAAGCACCGGCUAACUCCGUGCUAGCAGCCGCGGUAAUUC
This 406-nucleotide ribosomal RNA is filed under the name uncultured bacterium. RNAcentral's name for it is "partial 16S ribosomal RNA". It matches the Rfam family "Bacterial small subunit ribosomal RNA", at positions 29 to 526 of the family's 1533-position model. The record is from RNAcentral.